CCUCUCUCAAGGUCAAACCUGGAGAGUUCUCAGUACUCUACCAGUCUUGACUACAGGAGGGAGAGUCAGGCAGAGGCCUGUCCAUUCCAUCCCUAGCUUGGGCAGUGGCUAGUGAGUGGAAGGCAAUCUGCUCCAAGU
RNAcentral lists this small nucleolar RNA (138 nucleotides) under Ornithorhynchus anatinus (platypus). The record is from RNAcentral. Lineage: Eukaryota; Metazoa; Chordata; Mammalia; Monotremata; Ornithorhynchidae.